ACACACUAAUAUUAAACAGAAAAACAACAUAAAUCAGUGUUAAACACAAACAAAUUUUAGGUAAAUUAAAUAAGGUUUUCAUUUUCAAUCAAUAUAAAAGAAAUAAACGCAAUAAAAAACAAUGUCAGUGACGUAAUAAAUAUGUGUAAAUUUACACGCAUCAUUUAUUAAGCAUUAUAAAAAAUCCAGCAAUAUGAUUAAACUUUGGUUAUUUGUUAUUAUCCCUGCAUUCAAAUGGUUGCAGGUUGGAGCAGGAAGUUAACCCUUCUGUCGCGCAAGCGCGAGCAUAGACAGUGGUCGCGAGGCCAUUCGUACGUCACGUGAGCGCCAUUUUCAUGAUAUGACCGUUUUUCCUCAGGCACACUUCAACAUUUUCUUCGCAUUUAACAUCAUUAUUAACAUGUAAAUAAUAUAAUUCGUAAACAUAACGUUUAUGUUAAUUUAUAAUAUGUUUUUUUUUAUUAUUGUUGGCUUUAAGUUAAUUUGUCUGUCAGACUCAGUUUGUUCGUGUUGUAGCCUGUUAACAGUAGACCAAAGGUAUGAUGAUCAAUUAUAAAUGCAAUAUGGUUGAAAGGUCAGUAAACAAACAACAAAAAGGUAAUUUCUUAAUAGAAUGUCUAUACAUUUUUUGCUUUUGUUACAUAUUUCAUACAUCAAAAUCAUUAAACGUUAAUAAUUAUGUAUUCCAACUUGUUGCAGCUUGACAAAAAUGUAGCUUGAAGGAGAAGGGACAGCUGAGUAACAAAGUCCUGGUAUGCAGACGACGAUACUAUUACACUGACAAGAGUGUAAUGAUGAUGGAGACACAAGCCAGAGAAAGGGGGGACCAAACACCAGGCCAGAAUUCUGCAUGAGUCAGAUCCAGUGGGUGCAGAUCAUCAUACAGAUGGUUCAAGUGUGGAUCCACCUAAUAUUCAAGAUUUUCUGUCCUGGGACACUCGGCUAACCAUCAAGAAAGAACACACUCCAGUGGGCAUCCUUUAUCCAUCCAGACCCUCAUACAGAUGGUUGGAGUUUUGAUUCACCUAAAGUACCAUGCAAGAGCACUCAUUUUCCCUCUUGAGACCAUGGUGUGACCUGCAAGGUCGAAUGGAGACUGUAAACAAGACAAUCUUGGAGUCACCUGCAUUCACUGGUCCAGUUGUUAGUCCAAUUACAGAUGGAGAUUAUAGAAGAGGAUGAUGUCUUUUCUCCAACAUCUUUCUAGACUGAUAAAAGAUCUAGACAGGCUUGAACAAAAGUUAACAGAGGGGCUUAUAUAGAGAAUGGUGAGCAGCUACACAUAAAAGAAGAACAUGGAGAAUCUGCCCAGAGGUGUUAACCAGCAAUGCAGCUAUACAACUAAAUUGAUGCAGGCGGAAACAAUAAUGCAGCUGCUGCAGAUGAAGAAUCUGUCCGUCUACCACUGAAGGAGACGCGGAAAAUCGGGAAAAGAUGUUCUUUGCCCGAGGAAGCAUUUGAUUAAUUUAAAGAUAUUGUGUUUCUUUGUAUGUUAUAGAAAAACAUUGCUUUUUUGCAUACACUCGUGUAAAUAUGCAUCUUAUGAAUGUUUUCCUUUGUCUAAUUUUAAUAAAUUUUACGCAAUCAA
Paramisgurnus dabryanus is the source of this 1588-nucleotide long non-coding RNA. RefSeq lists it as uncharacterized. The record is from RefSeq and is a predicted model, not a curated record. Lineage: Eukaryota; Metazoa; Chordata; Actinopteri; Cypriniformes; Cobitidae.